RNAcentral lists this ribosomal RNA (743 nucleotides) under Phyllactinia taurica. Its description in RNAcentral is "eukaryotic LSU rRNA". It matches the Rfam family "Eukaryotic large subunit ribosomal RNA", at positions 1 to 761 of the family's 3401-position model. Lineage: Eukaryota; Fungi; Ascomycota; Leotiomycetes; Helotiales; Erysiphaceae. The record is from RNAcentral.
UUGACCUCAAAUCGCGUAAGGAUACCCACUGAACUUAACAUAUCAAUAAGCGGAGGAAAAGAACCAACCCGGAUACCUCGAUAACGGCAAGUGAAGCGGUAACAGCUCAAAUUUGAAAUCUGGCUCCCUGCGGAGUCCGAGUUGUAAUUUGUAGAAGAUGCUUUGGGUGCGUGGCCCGGCCUAAGUUCCUUGGAACAGGACGUCGUAGAGGGUGAGAAUCCCGUAUGCGGCCGGGGCGCCUGCCCGUGUAAAGCUCUUUCGACGAGUCGAGUUGUUUGGGAAUGCAGCUCAAAAUGGGUGGUAAAUUUCAUCUAAAGCUAAAUAUGGGCCAGAGACCGAUAGCGCACAAGUAGAGUGAUCGAAAGAUGAAAAGCACUUUGGAAAGAGAGUUAAACAGUACGUGAAAUUGUUGAAAGGGAAGCGCUUGCAACCAGACUUGGGCGUCGCUGAUCAUCCAAAGUUUCCUUUGGUGCACUCGGCGAGGCACAGGCCAGCAUCGGUUGGGGUGGUGGGAGAAAGGUCGUGGGAACGUAGCUCCUUUCGGGGAGUGUUAUAGCCUGCGGCGCAAUACCACCUACUCCGACCGAGGACCGCGCUUCGGCUAGGAUGCUGGCGUAAUGGUUGUAAGCGACCCGUCUUGAAACACGGACCAAGGAGUCUAACAUCUAUGCGAGUGUUUGGGUGCAAAACCCAUACGCGUAAUGAAAGUGANCGUAGGUGAGAACCCUUCGAGGGGGCAUCAU